GAUGAACGCUGGCGGCGUGCCUAAUACAUGCAAGUCGAGCGAACGGACGAGAAGCUUGCUUCUCUGAUGUUAGCGGCGGACGGGUGAGUAACACGUGGAUAACCUACCUAUAAGACUGGGAUAACUUCGGGAAACCGGAGCUAAUACCGGAUAAUAUUUUGAACCGCAUGGUUCAAAAGUGAAAGACGGUCUUGCUGUCACUUAUAGAUGGAUCCGCGCUGCAUUAGCUAGUUGGUAAGGUAACGGCUUACCAAGGCAACGAUGCAUAGCCGACCUGAGAGGGUGAUCGGCCACACUGGAACUGAGACACGGUCCAGACUCCUACGGGAGGCAGCAGUAGGGAAUCUUCCGCAAUGGGCGAAAGCCUGACGGAGCAACGCCGCGUGAGUGAUGAAGGUCUUCGGAUCGUAAAACUCUGUUAUUAGGGAAGAACAUAUGUGUAAGUAACUGUGCACAUCUUGACGGUACCUAAUCAGAAAGCCACGGCUAACUACGUGCCAGCAGCCGCGGUAAUACGUAGGUGGCAAGCGUUAUCCGGAAUUAUUGGGCGUAAAGCGCGCGUAGGCGGUUUUUUAAGUCUGAUGUGAAAGCCCACGGCUCAACCGUGGAGGGUCAUUGGAAACUGGAAAACUUGAGUGCAGAAGAGGAAAGUGGAAUUCCAUGUGUAGCGGUGAAAUGCGCAGAGAUAUGGAGGAACACCAGUGGCGAAGGCGACUUUCUGGUCUGUAACUGACGCUGAUGUGCGAAAGCGUGGGGAUCAAACAGGAUUGGAUACCCUGGUAGUCCACGCCGUAAACGAUGAGUGCUAAGUGUUAGGGGGUUUCCGCCCCUUAGUGCUGCAGCUAACGCAUUAAGCACUCCGCCUGGGGAGUACGACCGCAAGGUUGAAACUCAAAGGAAUUGACGGGGAUCCGCACAAGCGGUGGAGCAUGUGGUUUAAUUCGAAGCAACGCGAAGAACCUUACCAAAUCUUGACAUCCUUUGACAACUCUAGAGAUAGAGCUUUCCCCUUCGGGGGACAAAGUGACAGGUGGUGCAUGGUUGUCGUCAGCUCGUGUCGUGAGAUGUUGGGUUAGGUCCCGCAACGAGCGCAACCCUUAAGCUUAGUUGCCAUCAUUAAGUUGGGCACUCUAAGUUGACUGCCGGUGACAAACCGGAGGAAGGUGGGGAUGACGUCAAAUCAUCAUGCCCCUUAUGAUUUGGGCUACACACGUGCUACAAUGGACAAUACAAAGGGCAGCGAAACCGCGAGGUCAAGCAAAUCCCAUAAAGUUGUUCUCAGUUCGGAUUGUAGUCUGCAACUCGACUACAUGAAGCUGGAAUCGCUAGUAAUCGUAGAUCAGCAUGCUACGGUGAAUACGUUCCCGGGUCU
This 1372-nucleotide ribosomal RNA is filed under the name uncultured bacterium. Its description in RNAcentral is "bacterial SSU rRNA". It matches the Rfam family "Bacterial small subunit ribosomal RNA", at positions 28 to 1381 of the family's 1533-position model. The record is from RNAcentral.